This 647-nucleotide ribosomal RNA is filed under the name uncultured Bacteroidales bacterium. RNAcentral describes it as "bacterial SSU rRNA". It matches the Rfam family "Bacterial small subunit ribosomal RNA", at positions 106 to 752 of the family's 1533-position model. The record is from RNAcentral. Lineage: Bacteria; Pseudomonadati; Bacteroidota; Bacteroidia; Bacteroidales.
GUGAGUAACACGUAUCCAACCUGCCGUCUACUCUUGGACAGCCUUCUGAAAGGAAGAUUAAUACAAGAUGGCAUCAUGAGUUCACAUGUUCACAUGAUUAAAGGUAUUCCGGUAGACGAUGGGGAUGCGUUCCAUUAGAUAGUAGGCGGGGUAACGGCCCACCUAGUCUUCGAUGGAUAGGGGUUCUGAGAGGAAGGUCCCCCACAUUGGAACUGAGACACGGUCCAAACUCCUACGGGAGGCAGCAGUGAGGAAUAUUGGUCAAUGGGCGAGAGCCUGAACCAGCCAAGUAGCGUGAAGGAUGACUGCCCUAUGGGUUGUAAACUUCUUUUAUAAAGGAAUAAAGUCGGGUAUGGAUACCCGUUUGCAUGUACUUUAUGAAUAAGGAUCGGCUAACUCCGUGCCAGCAGCCGCGGUAAUACGGAGGAUCCGAGCGUUAUCCGGAUUUAUUGGGUUUAAAGGGAGCGUAGAUGGAUGUUUAAGUCAGUUGUGAAAGUUUGCGGCUCAACCGUAAAAUUGCAGUUGAUACUGGAUAUCUUGAGUGCAGUUGAGGCAGGCGGAAUUCGUGGUGUAGCGGUGAAAUGCUUAGAUAUCACGAAGACUCCGAUUGCGAAGGCAGCCUGCUAAGCUGCAACUGACAUUGAGGC